RNAcentral lists this ribosomal RNA (447 nucleotides) under Metschnikowia sp. (in: budding yeasts & allies). RNAcentral describes it as "LSU rRNA". It matches the Rfam family "Eukaryotic large subunit ribosomal RNA", at positions 86 to 665 of the family's 3401-position model. The record is from RNAcentral. Lineage: Eukaryota; Fungi; Ascomycota; Pichiomycetes; Serinales; Metschnikowiaceae.
ACGGCGAGUGAGCGGCAACAGCCCAAUUUUGAAAGCCUCCGGGCGUUGUAGUGGUGGCGACUGGACUCUGGCCACAAGUCCCUUGGAACAGGGCGCCUCAGAGGGUGACAGCCCCGUAGGCCGCACGAGUCCUCCAUGUCGCUGCCGGGCGAGUCGAGUUGUUUGGGAAUGCAGCUCAAACGGGUGGUAAACUCCAUCCAAGGCUAAAUACCGGCGAGAGACCGAUAGCGAACAAGUACAGUGAUGGAAAGAUGAAAAGCACUUUGAAAAGAGAGUGAAAAAGUACGUGAAAUUGGUGUGAGGGAAGGGGGCGGGGGGAAGUAGGCGCCGGGUUGCGCGGAGACGAAAAGGGCUGGGAACCUCGCUGCCUCGGCAGCGCCCCCAGCUGACCGUCUCUGGGCGUCCCCGCGGCGGAUCCCCCCUCCCCACCCGUCUUGAAACCACGGA